RNAcentral lists this ribosomal RNA (509 nucleotides) under uncultured bacterium. Its description in RNAcentral is "bacterial SSU rRNA". It matches the Rfam family "Bacterial small subunit ribosomal RNA", at positions 19 to 518 of the family's 1533-position model. The record is from RNAcentral.
AUGGCUCAGGAUGAACGCUAGCGACAGGCUUAACACAUGCAAGUCGAGGGGCAGCAUAAAAGUAGCAAUACUUGGUGGCGACCGGCGCACGGGUGAGUAACGCGUAUGCAACCUACCUAUCAGAGGGGAAUAACCCGGCGAAAGUCGGACUAAUACCGCAUAAAACAGGGGCACCGCAUGGUGAUAUUUGUUAAAGAAAUUCGCUGAUAGAUGGGCAUGCGUUCCAUUAGGUAGUUGGUGAGGUAACGGCUCACCAAGCCGACGAUGGAUAGGGGAACUGAGAGGUUGGUCCCCCACACUGGUACUGAGACACGGACCAGACUCCUACGGGAGGCAGCAGUGAGGAAUAUUGGUCAAUGGGCGGGAGCCUGAACCAGCCAAGUCGCGUGAAGGGAAAAGAAGGAUCUAUGGUUCGUAAACUUCUUUUGCAGGGGAAUAAAGUGCAGGACGUGUCCUGUUUUGUAUGUACCCUGAGAAUAAGGAUCGGCUAACUCCGUGCCAGCAGCUGC